AGAGAGGGCUGGGUGGCUGCGACUUCCUAUGGUUGUCGAGGAAAGUCCGGGCUCCGCAGGGCAGGGCGCCAGAUAAUGUCUGGUAGGAGUGAUCCUCAGGCUAGUGCCACAGAAAUGUAGACCGCCUCUUUGAGGUAAGGGUGCAACGGUGGGGUAAGAGCCCACCAGCGGGACAGCAAUGUCCCGGCUAGGUAAACCCCGCCCGGAGCAAGAUAGAUGGGGACCGCCGUUUGAGGCACCGGUAGCCCGCCGGAAGUCCCCCGAUACGUCGCUUCAAACGCCCAGCGAUGGUGCGUUGAGAUAGAUGGCCGCCCAGGGAGGCUUGCCUCCUGGACAGAACCCGGCUUACAGGCCCUCUCUUGGC
Molecule: RNase P RNA, 364 nt
Filed under: Phycisphaerales bacterium
Lineage: Bacteria; Pseudomonadati; Planctomycetota; Phycisphaerae; Phycisphaerales
Description: RNase P RNA component class A
Rfam family: Bacterial RNase P class A
About the family: Ribonuclease P (RNase P) is a ubiquitous endoribonuclease, found in archaea, bacteria and eukarya as well as chloroplasts and mitochondria. Its best characterised activity is the generation of mature 5'-ends of tRNAs by cleaving the 5'-leader elements of precursor-tRNAs. Cellular RNase Ps are ribonucleoproteins.
Source: RNAcentral